CACUGUGAAUCGUGUUGACCGAAUAUUGCCUACCGCAACGUCACACACCAUCAAUACAACGUUUGGGAAACACUGUAGCGGCACACAAAACGAACGCUUCCCCGAAGCGAAACGACAAACCAUCGGAACGAUGGUCAUCAAUUCACACUCUCACACCGAGAAAACUGCAGCUCUCCAACAAAGCAGCAGCACGAACAAAGAACACUUUUAGUAGUGCGUCCAAGCCAUCCGCAUCGCAACCGCGAUCUCGAGUUUUAAAAACCAACGUGGCUCAACUAAAUGGUUGGACACCUUUGUGAUAUACAAGAAAAGCCACACAGAAGGAAGGAGACCACUACUAAAAUUCCACCAGCACCAAGCGUCUGCAGGGUCACCAUCUUGCCUAGCAUAAGCAUACACGAUUCCAAAGGAGUACCACGUCAGCGAUCGCAGUGCCAGAAGCACGAAUCCGAGAAAGGCUCUCUAUCAAGAGGGCCUUUUAUCACGUGCCUCAUUGGCGUGCGCAUCCAUCUUGCCAAGGCAUCUAUCCGGGUUGCCUCUUCUCUACCCUGGUCGCGGCUUCAUGCCUCGAUCGCAUCAGGAGCGACUCGGUAACACAUAGGCAGUCAUCACUCUAGUACCUCCUCAAUCCGUGCACGUGCUAGUGACAAGAAGACGCGGUAGUGUUAGUGGAAAUUCUUGCAUGCAAGCUUCGAUAAUCAUCGAGCAAAACACCUAGCCAUCAACACGGCCGCCGACGCCGAUCGUCGUGUGCGUGUCAAUCACAUCAACACACUCCGAUCCACGCAAGAUGAGCAGACAGUGUUUACCGAUAUAUGCGAGCAGAGUCAGCGGCACAGUGUAAUCAAGAUCACCCGCGGUGGUGUUCGUUUGAACCGGAGUAUCAGUGCGAAGAGAAUAUUCGGCUCGUGCUCGGGGUUGCGUCGCGUCUGAAUCGAUAGGCCAAAAUGCAAGUGCAUGUAUGCAAGCCGUGACGGAGUGAAUGGUGUUAUUGUAUGCGAAGAAGAAUCUACCUGGACGGUAGAUUGCAUGUUGAUAGUGUGUGAGAGUAGUCGAACUAGGCAGCAACGAGAGCAGCAGGUAGCCUGCCGGCCUGAAGAUCGACGUCAGUGAGAGUGAAUGUUGACGUCCAGCUAAUGUGUGUUCCCGCUUUCGAAUCUACAAGCGCUCAGUAUCGAGCGAUCGAAUACCGCCGCGCCUACGGCGGCGCCACAGCUGUAAAGGGGCCCCUUCUUCAUUCCAGCAGUGGCUCAUCAACGAGUCGGUACGGAACACCGACGGCAAAAAGCGUAGGGUAGAGACUAAGGUAGGCUUAGACAUUAAGGACCUUUGUGAUCAAUGUAAUAAGGGCUCAAUAUAGUAAUGAUCAAAAUGAUCUUUUUUUUGCGUAAAUACUCAUUGGCUGCCCGAGUAUCUUAUUGAAGUAAAGUGCGCUUUAG
Aedes albopictus (Asian tiger mosquito) is the source of this 1439-nucleotide long non-coding RNA. RefSeq lists it as uncharacterized. The transcript is spliced from 4 exons. The record is from RefSeq and is a predicted model, not a curated record. NCBI's taxonomy places the organism in Eukaryota, Metazoa, Arthropoda, Insecta, Diptera, Culicidae.